This 272-nucleotide ribosomal RNA is filed under the name Escherichia coli. Its description in RNAcentral is "partial 16S ribosomal RNA". It matches the Rfam family "Bacterial small subunit ribosomal RNA", at positions 1 to 269 of the family's 1533-position model. The record is from RNAcentral. Lineage: Bacteria; Pseudomonadati; Pseudomonadota; Gammaproteobacteria; Enterobacterales; Enterobacteriaceae.
AAAUUGAAGAGUUUGAUCAUGGCUCAGAUUGAACGCUGGCGGCAGGCAUAACACAUGCAAGUCGAACGGUAACAGGAAACAGCUUGCUGUUUCGCUGACGAGUGGCGGACGGGUGAGUAAUGUCUGGGAAACUGCCUGAUGGAGGGGGAUAACUACUGGAAACGGUAGCUAAUACCGCAUAACGUCGCAAGACCAAAGAGGGGGACCUUCGGGCCUCUUGCCAUCGGAUGUGCCCAGAUGGGAUUAGCUUGUUGGUGGGGUAACGGCUCACC